Molecule: ribosomal RNA, 253 nt
Filed under: uncultured bacterium
Lineage: Bacteria
Description: partial 16S ribosomal RNA
Rfam family: Bacterial small subunit ribosomal RNA
Source: RNAcentral
UACGUAGGUUGCAAGCGUUAAUCGGAAUUACUGGGCGUAAAGCGUGCGCAGGCGGUUAUGUAAGACAGUUGUGAAAUCCCCGGGCUCAACCUGGGAACUGCAUCUGUGACUGCAUAGCUAGAGUACGGUAGAGGGGGAUGGAAUUCCGCGUGUAGCAGUGAAAUGCGUAGAUAUGCGGAGGAACACCGAUGGCGAAGGCAAUCCCCUGGACCUGUACUGACGCUCAUGCACGAAAGCGUGGGGAGCAAACAGG